Long non-coding RNA from Mercurialis annua (annual mercury), 580 nucleotides. RefSeq lists it as uncharacterized. NCBI's taxonomy places the organism in Eukaryota, Viridiplantae, Streptophyta, Magnoliopsida, Malpighiales, Euphorbiaceae. The transcript has 2 exons. The record is from RefSeq and is a predicted model, not a curated record.
ACCCUUCCUCUUAUUUCUCCAACACAUGGCUGCUCUCUUCCUCGCUACUUUCUAAUGUUUCUGUCAAUAUCAACGGCGGUUGGUCGGCCUGGAAAAUCAGAGGGAGAGAACGAUUCGAAUGAUGGAAGUGCUCACUGUAUAAAUAGCUUCAAUUACUCAUCUUCUCUUUUUCUUUAUUAUUCCCGUCGUUCUUUACUUCCGAUUAGGCAUAGAUACUGUGGUUUGUCAAUGACUGCUCUUUGAACAAUAAAUAUGCAGAUGGCAUUAUAGAGAUGGGGCUAAUUUGGAUUCAUGAAACAACAGUAGGACUUCCAACUACAGAUGAUACGGGUAAUAUUGAAGUUGGUUGAUUGGUUUGCGUUGUAAUCCAACCUUUUCAACAUUUUGUUGAGUACUUUGAAUUUGAUUGUAUAUAAUGCCUUAAGUAUAUGACUACUCUGUCUUAAGUGCAAUUGUUUAAUUAAGCAAUGGCAGAUGAUACAGAAACUAGUUUGUUUGCAUUGAGGUCAUGAUUUGUUGCAAUUGGAAUGAUGGAGCUUUAAAGUUUAAACAAUAUUAAAAUUUUUAAUUCCUUAUUUAA